GAGGUCCCGAGCGUUGUUCGGAUUCACUGGGCGUAAAGGGUGCGUAGGUGGUUGGGUAAGUCUGAUGUGAAAUCUCCGAGCUCAACUCGGAAAUGGCAUUGGAUACUAUUCGGCUAGAGGGUUGGAGGGGGACUGGAAUACUUGGUGUAGCAGUGAAAUGCGUAGAUAUCAAGUGGAACACCAGUGGCGAAGGCGAGUCCCUGGACAACUCCUGACACUGAGGCACGAAAGCUAGGGGAGCAAACAGGAUUAGAUACCCUGGUAGUCCUAGCUGUAAACGGUGCAUAUUUGCUGUAAAAGGAAUCGACCCCUUUUGUGGCGUAGCAAACGCGUUAAAUAUGCCGCCUGGGAAGUACGGUCGCAAGAUUA
This 369-nucleotide ribosomal RNA is filed under the name uncultured organism. RNAcentral's name for it is "bacterial SSU rRNA". It matches the Rfam family "Bacterial small subunit ribosomal RNA", at positions 528 to 896 of the family's 1533-position model. The record is from RNAcentral.